Molecule: ribosomal RNA, 465 nt
Filed under: uncultured bacterium
Lineage: Bacteria
Description: partial 16S ribosomal RNA
Rfam family: Bacterial small subunit ribosomal RNA
Source: RNAcentral
CUACGGGUGGCUGCAGUGGGGAAUAUUGGACAAUGGGGGAAACCCUGAUCCAGCAAUGCCGCGUGUGUGAAGAAGGCCUGCGGGUUGUAAAGCACUUUCGGUUGGGAGGACUGCUUCUAGCACUAAUAUUGUUGGAAGUUGACGUUACCUUCAGAAGAAGCACCGGCUAACUCCGUGCCAGCAGCCGCGGUAAUACGGAGGGUGCAAGCGUUAAUCGGAAUUACUGGGCGUAAAGCGCGCGUAGGCGGCUAGAUCAGUCGGGUGUGAAAGCCCCGGGCUUAACCUGGGAACUGCAUCCGAUACUGUCUAGCUUGAGUACAGGAGAGGAGAGUGGAAUUCCACAUGUAGCGGUGAAAUGCGUAGAUAUGUGGAGGAACACCAGUGGCGAAGGCAGCUCUCUGGCCUGAUACUGACGCUGAGGUGCGAAAGCGUGGGGGGCAAACAGGAUUAGAUACCCGGGUAGUC